This 940-nucleotide long non-coding RNA is filed under the name Anser brachyrhynchus (Pink-footed goose). Its description in RNAcentral is "lncRNA (ENSABRG00000015866.1)". Lineage: Eukaryota; Metazoa; Chordata; Aves; Anseriformes; Anatidae. The record is from RNAcentral.
GAGCUCACACACUAAAUUUGGGAAAGUUGGGUUAAAUUUUGUCCUCUGAUAUUUCUACUUUGCAGAGCAGUGGCCUGCAAUAGAGGAGUUUGUUACAAUCUGGGACGUGUCCUUCUGGGAAAGCAGGGAAGCAGAUGCAUCACCAUUUUGAAGUGGCUGUCCUUAUCCCUGGAAAAGCUGGUUUUAUAACCCAUGGCUCUGAAGCCUGGAGUAGCAAAGGAAUGACCGCAGUUUGUUUAUGAACCUUGUGCUUCUGGCACUCCAGCAAAGAUGUGUCUUAACAGUCAGACAGGAGGAUGAACUUCUGUUCAACAGCCCAUCCUUUAAUAGACAUAAGAUCAAAGCAAUGUCAAGCAAGUGUUGCUAAUCCUUUUGAAUUAGUGGUGCAAGUUCAUGAGGUCACUUGUAAAAGUGAUGUAAUAUGCAGAAAACCUCUAAAAACUGAACAUAUGUUAUAUGUAAAGCAAGAAGCAAAGUAAACUGGAACAUUGAAAUGGGACUGAGUGACAUGCGUUCUGUAUCCACAUGGAAGGCACUAGAGACGAGGACACGGAGCUGGGACUGUAGACCUACUGGUGCUGACAACAGAUGGCUCAGAAUGUUCUCAGAGGAGAGCGUGAAGUGAAAAGGGAGAUAGAUAAUUGCUGUGAUCAUGCUGUUGGCCUGGAAGUCAGGAGUUGUUACUGGCUGCGAAAUGAUGCAAAGAAAUUAUUUGACCACAAUGGACAUGUAGUAGUAACAAGAUACUGCUCUGUGGAGAUGACAAAUGUAUAAAUCUCACAGAUUUCUCAGAAAGAGAAUUCUCAGAUACUUUUCUUCGUCCUCAAGAAAAAAACCACAAGGUAUUCUCAUUCCUCUGUUGAGCAUCCUGUAAAUGGAAACGGAAAUGUUUCUUGGGUAAGUUCCCAUUUUUAUAUUGAAAAUGCUGCGGGCCUUGUUC